Molecule: ribosomal RNA, 486 nt
Filed under: Triticum aestivum (bread wheat)
Lineage: Eukaryota; Viridiplantae; Streptophyta; Magnoliopsida; Poales; Poaceae
Description: partial small subunit ribosomal RNA
Source: RNAcentral
AUGGCGGCCGUUCCUCCUAAUGUCGAGGUCUCCAUUGUCCCUGCACCCACUACAUACAGAAAGACUAUCCUCCGCAACCUGUGGUUGGGCCGCACUGGUGAUGACACCCAGAAAUCCCUUCUUGAGGUGGCCAAGUUUGGGCAUUACGUUGUUGUCAACUGGACUGUAUUUGAAGGAGAGGGCAACGGGGCGAAGCUAGUCGCCCGUGGACAAGGAAGCACCAUAGGCGCCGGUAGCUGGAUAUCUACUUACGUCAUAGUGUUUGUGGAUGGCAGAUGUUGGUUCAAAGGAUCCACCCUUCAAGUGAUGGGAAACGCCUUGGGUGUUAAUGGUCAGUUGGCUGUUACUGGUGGGACUGGGGAGUUUGCUCUUGCAAGUGGUAUCAUCAAGGUGGAUUUUGACAAACUUACUGGUGUUGACCACCUUACGGUGGAAGUGUAUACACCAGUGUUCUUAGGACCGUGUUAUGCAGCAGCGGAGAAUUAG